This 2654-nucleotide ribosomal RNA is filed under the name Pinus taeda (loblolly pine). Its description in RNAcentral is "eukaryotic LSU rRNA". It matches the Rfam family "Eukaryotic large subunit ribosomal RNA". The record is from RNAcentral. Lineage: Eukaryota; Viridiplantae; Streptophyta; Pinopsida; Pinales; Pinaceae.
CUGCAGAUAGUCAUGGUGAAAAAUUUCAGUGUAACAGAUAGCGAACAAAUACCACGAGGGGAAGAUGAAAAGGAAUUUAAAAAGAGAGUUAAAGAGUGCUUGAAAUUGUCGGGAGGGAAGCGGAUGGAGGCUAUCGAUGCGUCUUAGUCAGAUGUGGAAUGGCUCAGGCUGGCCCACUGAUCGACUUGAGGUGUAAACCAACACAAGCUACUGCAUCAUCACAAGCACGGGUGGAUUACUGCCUAUCGAUUUUCCAUUACAGUGGUCGAGGAAUGAAGCGUGCACCCUUGUGGUGGACCGUGUGCACCUGUGGGGUCGUGGUGUUGGUUGGCGGGCUUUCCAUUUGACCCAUCUUGAAACACAGACCAAGGAGUUGAACAUGUGUGCGAGUCAGCGAGUUUGAAAACUUACAAGGCGCAAGGAAGCUGGCGGGAAAGAUCCCCUCUCUAGGGGGGUGCAUCGUCGAUCGACCUUGAGCUUAUGCGAAGGGUUCGAGUGCGAGCACACCUGUUGGGACUUGAAAUAUGGUGAACUAUGCCUGAGCAAGGUGAAGCGAGAGGAAACUCUGGUGGAGGAUUUUAGCGAUACUAACUUGCAAAUCAUUCAUCUGACUUGGGUAUAGUGGCGAAAGACUAAUCGAACCAUCUAGUAGCUAGUUUCCUCUGAAGUUUCCCUUAAGAUAGAUGGAGCUCAUGCACAAGUUUUAUCGAGUAAAGAAAAUGAUUGGAGGAAUUGGGGGCAUAACACCCUCGACCUAUUCUCAAACUUUAAAUAUGUAAGAGGGUGUGGCUGAUCCAUUGAGCCACGCCAUGGAAUCGAGAGCUCCAAGUGGGCCAUUUUUGGUAAGAAGAACUGGCAAUGUAGGAUGAACUGAAAGUCAAGUAACUAUGCCAAAUUGCAUGCUAACCUAGAUCCCACAAAGGGUGUUGGUUGAUUAAGAUAGCAGGACGGUGGUCAUGGAAGUCGACAUCCGCUAAGGGGUGUGUAACAACUCACAUGCCGAAUCAAAUAGCCCCGAAAAUGGAUGGCGCUGAAGCAUGCAACCUAUACUCAACCAUCAGAGCAAUUGCCUAGCUUCUAUGAGUAGGAGGACACAGGGGUCGUUGAGAAACCUCAGGUGUGAGCUUGGGUGGAUCGGUAUUCGGUGCAGAUCUUCGUGGUAGUAGCAAAUAUUCAAAUGAGAACUUUGAAGACUGAAGUGGGGAAAGGUUCCAUGUGAACAACACUUGGACAUGGGUUUGUCGAUCCUAAGAGAUGGGAAAGCCUUGUAUGAAGGGUGCACUCUGCAUGAGCAUCGAAAGGGAAUCAAGUUAAUAUUCCCAAACUGGGAUAUGGUGGCGGGCGACAACAUUAGGAAAUCUAGAGACGUCGUUGGGGGUCUCGGGAAGAGUUAUAUUUUCUUUUUAACAACUUUCCCACCCUAGAAUCGGUUCACUUGGAGAUAGGGUCCAGCAACUGGAAGAGCAUUGCACAUCUUGCAGUGUUCAGUGUGCCCUCGGUGGCCCUUGAAAAUCUGGAGGACUGAGUACUGUUCAUGACCGGUCGUACUCAUAACCACAUCAGGUCUCCAAGGUGAACAACCUCUGGUCAAUAGAACAAUGUAGGUAAGGGAAGUCAGCAAAACAGAUCCGUAACUUUCGGGAAAAGGAUUGGCUCUGAGGGCUGGGCAUAGGGAUCUGUGCCCUCAACUUGUGGGCUAUUGGUAGUCUGCCCGAGCUACUCUCACGGUGAGGGAGAGCAUUCACUUGCCGAUGGGGCUACAGGCGUAGAAUGUCCCUACUGGGGGCUUUUCCCUAGGCAUCAAAUAGUCGACUCAAAACUGGUAUGGACAAGGGGAAUCUAACUAUUUAAUUAAAACAAAGCAUUGUGAUUGUCCCUACGAAUGCUUACGCAAUGCGAUUUCUGCCUAGUGCUCUGAAUGUCAAAGUGAAGAAAUUCAACAAGGUGCGGGUAAAUGCUGGGAGUAACUAUGACUCUCUUAAGGUAGCCAAAUGCCUCAUCAUCUAAUUAGUGAUGUGCAUGAAUGGAUUAAUGCGAUUCCCACUGUCCCUAUAUACUAUCUAGAGAAACCACAGCCAAGGGAAUGGACUUGGUAGAAUCAACGGGGAAAGAAGACCUUGUUGAGCUUGACUCCAUUCUGACUUUGUGAAAUGACUUGAGAGGUGUAGAAUAAGUGGGAGCCAUUUUCGGUGCAAGUGAAAUACCACUACUUUUAACAUUAUUUUACUUAUUUCUUAGGGUGGAGAUGGGGCACUGCCCCUAUUUUUUGCCUUAAGUUACGUUUCGGCAGGUCGAUUCGGGCAGAAGACAUUUUCAGGUGGGGAGUUUGGCUGGGGCGGCACAUCUGUUACUCUUUGACUGUCACUCUUUGACUGUAUCUCAACCUAUAGUAGGGGCAUUGAUUUGUCGCCCCCAGGGGCCUGUGUCAUUUACAAACUGUGACUAUGAAGCAUCUCAGUUGGGGCAACUUUGAAGUUAAAUUCCAAAUAGUUGUUGAGAAGAAUCCUUUACAUACAACUUAAAUAUGUGAUGGGGUAUUGUAAGUGGUAGAGUGGCCUUGCUGCCACGAUCCACUGAGAUUCAACCCUUGGUUGCCUUGAUUUAGAGCUUCGCUCUUGUCACAAACAAAUUUGGAUAACCCUCCCGCUCUCAUG